GCAGGAAGAAAAUUAGAGAACCCUAAGUUGCCUCAAUAAAAUUUGAACAGACGUUUGUCUCUGGAGUUAGGACUUUGAGUGAGUUGCUACAGGAAUUGUCGAUCCAAGUGCUCAUUGCCUUCCCUGUGAAGUUUCACAUGAAGAUGUUUUAAAGAAAAUCUUCUAUUAAUUACUUGAGAAACUUUGCUUCUCCCAAAGAACAGAUAUUUUCCCCUCAAGACAAUGAGUGUUAUCUGCAACACCAUCUGCAAUUAUUAUAGCAUCAACAGAUAAAGACUUGGAAAGACCUGCCAGUCAGACAAGCAGCCCACGGGAAGCCUGUGCACAUCCAUGUCAGGUCCGAAGAGACUUCUGUUUCACCAGCCUACCGUGGGUAUCAGAUAAUGCAGGACAUGAAAUAAAGUGUAAGAAUAUUAAAUUGUAAAUCUGAACUUCUCAGGUUUAACUCAAACCUCAUCCUUAUUUGAUCAGCAAGACCCCCAAUAAAAGUGAUUCCCUGCUUUGUAUCAGUACAAUUUGAGGCAUUUGAGGAGAUUCGAUAGGUUCAGUUCUUCGCUACAAUCAGCAUCUGGAGCAAUAGCUUCAGCAAUAAAAAUUCUGGUUUAACAGUUAGAACAAAGCAUCAACUACUCCAUCCUGUUCAAAAGAGAGAUUCCAGAGUGCUCAGGGAUACAAACAAAGACGUGAACGGAUUGAAGAGCCAUUGGUGCAGUCGAGGAGAAGGGACGGACAAACCUGUGGACUUGGAUGCCUCUGAGAAGCCUUCAAGGCUCCACAGAGGCUGCCAGCUCUGAGAGAUUUACACUGUGGGAAGGAGGGGGAACUCUUCCAGGCACAGGAAGCAACUGACAAGGCAUGGAAUUGGUAAUGAGCGUGGUGUGGCAGGGCUUCAUAAAGUGCAAGAUGAACAGAGGAAAAGGUGGUCGUGAAGUCGGAUGGGGAAGGUUACAAGAAAUGUCAUCAUUAUUAAUUUACACCAUUUUGACCUGAGCCUAUAUUUUGUUCAUCUGAAUGAGAUGUUCUUGAUUUAUUGAAAGCCUUAUCAAAUAUCACCUUUAUCUCUAUCAACUCUUGAGCUCUCUGUGCACAUUUUUAAGUGCCUGCUGAUGUCCCACAGAUCUUUCCACUCACAUACGUCCUCCAUUGUACUCAUCACAUUCCUUCCGUUCAGCUCCCCAGAUGAUCACCAGAGAAUCUGUUAGUAAAGCAAAACUUCCUCGAACUUCUCUCAGUAAGGGAGAACAUGACCUUGACAGAGUCUUAGCAGUGUCUCAGAAGUGAAAUAUUUACAGAAUUUUGGCAUCUAGGCUUAAGCUUUAAACUGGUCCCUCAAGAUGGGAGCUAAUUGCACAAAAUCUCCUGAAGAAAGUCUUGAUAAGCAGACUUUCGUUUAGUGAGUGGCCUAUUUGCUCAGGUGAACAGACUCUUAUCUUUAGUAAAUUUAUCGGUAGGAAUUUCCUAAGACAAUUGGUGGAAUUAUUUCUGGAAGCUUUCCGGGAACAAAGAACUAUGUUACAUUGACAUAGGUGUUCUAUAGACUUAUCUAAGUCAGUGGACAUAGAUGGUCUCAGUUCUCUCCUCCCUAAACCAGCUCCUUCUAAGGCGUUUCCCACCUGAGUCACUGGUAACAGCCGGCUCCCUCCUACUCUUCCUGGGGAGGAGUCCUUUUCACUCCUCCCGCCUCUAAUGUGGGCUCUCCCUCUCAGUCCCACGGUUCGCAAUUGCUUCCCAAACUCUGGUCCAGCAUUUCUUCUGUCUCCAUUCUUUCUUUCACAUAAAGGUGAGAGUUUUAUUUCUGAAAUAACUGAAUAGGUAAUUUCUCUCCUAAAUGAUUUACAAUAGUUUCACAACUAUUCUGAUUUUUUUUGUGAUGGAUUAAUUCUGUCUCUUCUAGAACUUCAUGUAAAUACAAUCAGACAGUUUGUAUUCUUUUGUGGCUGGCUUCUUUCACUCACCUUAAUGAUUUUAAGGUUUAUCCAUAUGUGUG
Molecule: non-coding RNA, 1987 nt
Organism: Equus caballus (horse)
Lineage: Eukaryota; Metazoa; Chordata; Mammalia; Perissodactyla; Equidae
Source: RefSeq, a predicted model, not a curated record